Molecule: ribosomal RNA, 2271 nt
Filed under: Triticum aestivum (bread wheat)
Lineage: Eukaryota; Viridiplantae; Streptophyta; Magnoliopsida; Poales; Poaceae
Description: partial small subunit ribosomal RNA
Source: RNAcentral
AUGACAGAAGACCAAGAGCUCAGCGGCGGCAACAGGCUCAUCUCAAAGAAUGGCAAGGUCGCGUUGGGGUUCUACACGUCACGCAGCAGUAAGUCUUCCUCAGACAACACCACCUUCCCCUACUGGUAUGUAGGUAUAUGGUUCAACAAGAUCCCAAAGUUCACUCCUGUAUGGAUUGCAAACAGAGAGAAACCAAUCAGUGACCCCAAGUUUAGACUUUCCAAGCUCAGAAUCUCAAGGGAUAGCAAUCUUGUCAUCUUAAACCAUGCGACUAAAUCCAUAAUCUGGUCCAGUCAAAUAAUAGCAGCCAAAGGUGGAAGAAUAGCUAACAAAAAUACUACAAUCACGGCGGCGCUCACAAACGAUGGUAACCUUGUCAUAAGAGACGCCUCGAACCCAUCCGUCGUGUGGUGGCAGAGCUUUGAUCACCCAACAAAUGUUUUCCUUCCCGGUGCAAGGAUUGGCCGGAACAAGAUUACUGGCCAAAAAUACAGUCUUGCUUCAAAGAAGAAUCUGAUAGAUCCAGCUCCAGGCCUAUACUGCAUGGAGCUAGACCCCACUAGUGAUCCGCAGUACUUUGUUGAGCUCUGUAAUUCAUCCAUGGUGUACUUCUCCACGGGGGAAUGGAUCGGGUGGUACUUCAAUUUGGUGCCGGAGAUGUCAGACAGUAACUUUCUCCACACCAAAUUCAUCAACAAUGAUGAAGAGGAGUACUUCACUUAUGCCCCGACGGAUCCAACAAUAAUAACAAUCUGCUUCCUUGACGUCUCCGGUCUUACCAAGCAACUUCUUUGGCUUGAAAGCUUGCAAGAUUGGGAAACCAUAUAUGUCGAACCGAGGGCUCCAUGCGAUGUUUUCACCGUUUGCGGGCCUUCCACGGUCUGCAACGACAACGCACUUACAUUGUGUAACUGCAUGAAUGGGUUCUCUGUGAAGUCACCAGAGGAUUGGGUGCUGGAUGAUAGAAGAGAUGGAUGCAUGAGAAAUACUCCACUAGAACAUUGCAACAGCAACAAAAGUAACACAACAGGAUUAACUGACAAGUUCUUUCCCAUACAUAGUGUUAGAUUACCAUACUAUGCACAUAGCAUGGAAACAAUUGAGAGUGGACAAGAGUGCAUGCAGGUUUGUCUAAGAAAUUGCUCAUGCACUGCCUACUCCUAUGGCAAGAGUGGCUGUUCAAUCUGGCAUGGCCAACUUAUUAAUGUAAAGCAGUACAAUAAUGGCACAAUCAAUAGUGACAGAGAGAUUCUUUUCCUUCGUCUUGCUGCUGGAGAGGUGCAAAGUUGGGGAAACAACACAAAAGGAAAUAGAAGAAUUAUCAUAGGUCUCACUGUUGGUGCUUUCGAUUUGUUGGUGAUGCUAUUGAUGAUUUGGAGUGGGGAAAGGAAGUGGUGUUCUCAUCCCUUAAGCAACACUGAAGGUGGAUGUGGAGUUAUAGCAUUUAAGUAUGUUGAUUUGCAGCAGACAACUAAAAAUUUCUCAGAGAAGCUUGGUGUAGGUGGUUUUGGCUCUGUAUUUAAGGGAAUUCUGCGUGACUCGACUACCAUAGCGGUGAAGAUGCUUGAUGGUGAUAGAAGGAUGCUUGUUUAUGAACACAUGGCAAAUCGUUCUCUUGAUGUCCAUAUAUUCCAAGACAAUGGUUCUAUGUUAGAUUGGAGUACAAGGUUCCGAAUUGCCAUUGGUGUUGCUAAAGGAUUGUCCUACUUGCAUGAGAGUUGUCAUGACUGCAUAAUACAUUGCGAUAUUAAGCCAGAAAACAUACUUCUCGAUGCGGCACUUGUUCCUAGAAUUGCAGAUUUUGGGAUGGCAAAACUUAUGGGAAGGAACUUUAGUUGUGUUCUGACAACAAUGAGAGGAACCGUAGGAUACCUUGCGCCUGAAUGGAUUAGUGGAGUGGCUAUUACACAAAAGGUUGAUGUUUACAGCUAUGGAAUGGUACUGCUAGAAAUCAUGUCUGGAAGGAGGAACUCAUCACCUCAAGAAUGUACAGGAAAUAUUGAUCAUGAUGUUCAUUUUCCUGUGCAAGCUGCAGUUAAGCUUCUUGAGGGAGAUGUGAGGACUUUGGUCGAUCAACAAUUAUAUGGUGACAUCAACGUGAAGGAGGUUGAAAGAGCUUGCAAAGCUGCAUGUUGGUGCAUUCAAGAUUAUGACUUUGAUCGUCCUACAAUGGGCGAUGUGGUUCAAGUUCUCGAGGGUCUAGUCAAGCUUGAUAUGCCCCCAGUGCCAAGAUUGCUUCAAGCUAUAUCAGGAAGCUCUUCAACAAAUUAA